This is a long non-coding RNA of Callithrix jacchus (white-tufted-ear marmoset), 5530 nucleotides long. RefSeq lists it as uncharacterized. The record is from RefSeq and is a predicted model, not a curated record. Lineage: Eukaryota; Metazoa; Chordata; Mammalia; Primates; Cebidae.
AUAAUUUAAAAAAAAAACAGGUUUAGUGACAAGCAUUGACACUGUGUAAAAGAAUACAUCCUCUUUGCCAUUAUAAAAUCAUCAGCCCUACUGUGUGAUUUAUUUGCUUAUAUGCUAAGUUAACUUAACAUUUUUGGUGAAUAAAUAGCAUACUGGCAUAUUUCCUGUGGCUUGGUUUGUGAGUGGUUUUUUGUUUUGUCUUUUUUUAGAUAGUCUUGCUGUGUUCCCCAGGCUGGAGUGCAGUGGCACAACCACAUCACACUGCAACCUCCACCUCCCAGGUUCAAGGGAUUUUCCUGCCUCAGCCUCUUUUCAUAGCUGGGACUACAGGCACAUGCUACCAUGCCUGGCUAAUAUGUGUAGUUUCGUAGAGACAGGGUUUCACCAUGUUGACCAGGCUGGUCUUGAACUCCUGACCCCAAGUGAUCGGCUUAUCUCAGCCUCCCAAAGUGAGGGUUUUAUUAGUGUAUCGCUGAUGGACAUACUGAUUACUGGUUUGUCACUAAGUCAUACUUGAUCUCUUGGAACCUCAAUUUCCUAUGUAUAAUGUGAAGAUUGAUAUUUUACUUCAUAGAGUUACUGAUAAGACUAACUUCUUUGCAGAAUUCAGUUUACUUGAUCUUGGAAAAUAUUCUGCUUGGAAGCUAUUUAAGGAAGACUAAAAUUGACUAUUCAAAAAUUUACCCAUUGAUAUUUUCUAAAAUUUUCAGAGGGAACAUAUUAAAAAUAUUUUGUGUUUGUUAUGAAGUGUCAUUAAAUAAGUGUUCCUCAGACAGUCUGUAAAUAUUAGUAAAGUUUACAUUUGCUGCUUAAAGACCAAAGACAGAGACCUAGGAGCCUAGGACUGGACACAUAAUGGUGCUCUAUAACUAUAUUCAUAAAUGAAAAAAAGGAUUUAAAAUAAUUGACUUCAGCUUUUAAGCCAGGUAUAAUAAUACAUCUUCUUAUUUGUAAGUGAUAUGAAAUAAAAUUCUGUAAUAAGCAAAUUGAAACCCCUCUAUCCACACAGAAAUUAUUACUAAAAUGCAAGAGAUAUGAAUUAUAAAAUAUGUCCUACUUAUUACUCUUUCAAUCAUAUACAAUUUGCCUGUCAAUGGAUGGCCUAAAAUGAAUGACCAUACAAAGGUAAGAGCACCUAAAUCACUGAAUUAGCCAACAGAGUAAGGCAAUGACCACUGCUGAUAUUCUUUUUUUUUUAAUUGCAUUUUAGGUUUUGGGGUACAUGUGCAGAACAUGCAAGAUAGUUGCAUAGGUACACACAUGGCAGUGUGUUUUGCUGCCUUCCUCUCCUUCUGCUGAUAUUCUAAUACCUGAACAUAAAUUGUUUCAGUAGAUCAAUGUAUAUGUGUUCAAAUGAUCAACAGAGAGAAAAAGCAACAUGUCUACUGUAAAUCCAAAAGAUCAAACAAUGACAAUCUCUGAAGGAAAUUUUCUCUAUAAAAUGUCAAAGUUUGACAGGGUAAGAGUGCUAAGAAUUGAAUACAUUAUCCUAGAAAGGUAUUUGUUAUUGUUUAGCAAUUUCUGACAUUCAUUGAAUCUAAGAUGCCAUUUAUUGAAAGGCACGCACUAUUAUUUUACAUGUGACUAAGGAACAAGAAAGUCAGUACUCAUUUUAAUUAUAGUGUGUUAUUAUGUAAAUUUCAGACAUUUAAAAAAGGGAAAUUAUAGAAUGAAUAAAAUACAGUAUGUAAAGGACUAAGAGGCGAUAAAGAAAUAUUGGUCAGGAAAAAAAAAAUAACAAGGGUCAAAGCCAGAACAAUUUGAGCAACAAAAUAUUUGUAUUAUGUUGGUGCAAAAGUUAUUGUGGCUUUUGCCAUUGAUAUUGCAGUUUUGCCAUUAUUUUCAAUGGCAAAAAUCGUAAUAACUUUUGCACUGACUUAAUGAUACUGUAUCAUGGCCCAAAGUAUAAAAUAAAUAUCCUUAAGUCCAUCCUUACAUAGAUGAUUGAAUAAAUAAAUGGAAGAGAAUAGAGAAAUCUGUCUUGCAGGAAAAUUCCAGUUUAUGUAGGUACUCUGCCAUCAAGGAGUUAGCACAUAACUCUCUACUGUUUUUGUUUGUUUGUUUGUUUUGUUUUUUGUUUUUUGGUUUUUGGUUUUUUCUGAGACUGAGUCUCACUUUGUCACCCAGGUUGCUGGAGUGCAGUGGCACAAUCUUGGCUUACUGCAGACUCUGCCUUCCACGUUCAAAUGAUUCUCCUACCUUGGCCUCCUGAGUAGCUGGGAUCACAGGUGCACCAUACCAUGCCCAGCUAAUUUUUGUAGUUCUAGGAAAGAUGGAGUUUCACCAUUUUGGCCAGGCUGGUGUUGAACUCCUGGCCAUAGGUGAUCCACCCACCUCAGCCUCUCUCAACUUCUUUUUUUUUUUUUUUUUGAGACGGAGUUUCGCUCUUGUUACCCAGCCUGGAGUGCAAUGGCACGAUCUCGGCUCACCGCAACCUCUGCCUUCUGGGUUCAGGCAAUUCUCCUGCCUCAGCCUCCUGAGUGGCUGGGAUUACAGGCACGUGCCACCAUGCCCAGCUAAAUUUUUUGUAUUUUUUGUAGAGACAGGGUUUCACCAUGUUGACCAGGAUGGUCUCGAUCUGUUGACCAGGAUGGUCUCAAUCUGUUGACCUCAUGAUCCACCCGCCUCGGCCUCCCAAAGUGCUGGGAUUACAGGCUUGAGCCACCGCGUCCGGCCCUCUCAAAUUCUUAAGUGUGGGCUGUGCAUGCAGACUUCCUUCUAAGAAUUACUGCGUGGAAAGGAGUAAAAAACCUUUGUAGUAAAGAAACUUGACACACACUACCCCACCCAGGUAAUGAAAGUCAGUAUCAACAGUGAUACAUCAUAUUGAUAGUACAUACACUUAAUAUGUUGUGAUGAAAAUGACACUUUACCUCUGUGUUUUUUUUUCCCUAAAGUCAUAACUUCAGUCUCAUUAAGAAAACAGCAAUAAAUCCCAAUAGAAGAGCCUCUUACAAUAUACCUGACUAGUACUCCUCAAAAGUCUCAGAGUCAUCAAAGACAAGGAGCCUGAGAAACUAACAGUCAAGAAGAGCCUAAGGAUAUAGGAUCACUAAAUGUAAUAGUAUGCUGCAUGGGAUUCUGGAGGAGAAAGAUGACAUUAGAAUGUAGAAAGCCUGAAAAAAUCCUGAUGCUCGUGCUAUACAUCAUACCAAUUAAGUCAGACCUUCUGGGGGUCAAACCAAGGCAUCAGAAUUAAAAAAAAAAAUCUUCAGCACUAAAAGCAUCAUACAUCCCCCUUCCUGCAACAUUUGAACGUGUUCAUCACACAUCGUGAGGUUUUUGGUAAAGUGGAAGAAACAACAAUAUGAACAAUUUGGGAGAGGAGAGGCAGGAAAGCGGAGAAAGAAGAAGGAAAGGAGUAAUGUCUUCUUAUUUAGCCAGUGUGGCUUGUGACUCCUUCUUGGGGACUGUCAUAUCAUGUUUCAAAAGAAAAAGAUGGGAGACACUAAAGGAUCAUAUGGGACAGUGUAAACUGGAAAGAGGGUGCAUAUUUUAAAUGACCUGGCUGGCUUUGUGGAUCAAGUCUUUGUUUCCAUGACACUGCAACUCGCAGAGGGCAAAGAGCUGGUUGACUCAUUGGCUUUUUCUAAGAGGCAGAGUUGACUGCAGCAAGUUUUCUAACACCUACAGGUACUAAGAGCUAGUUGUAUUAACUUUCAAAAGUGUAAUACAAAUUAUAAUUUCUUUUAAUUAAAUUUUACCCAAUUCUUAACUUUGGUUCAAGAGACGAUUAGAGAUAUUCCCAGGGACAAGGUUAUAUAUCACACAUUAUACUUCAUGCUGAUUUGUGGUCUUCAUUUUAUAAUCCUCGUCAUCAAAUCCCAUAUCACACAUAAUAAAGAAGAUUUUUGUCUCAAUGCCACUUGGUAGGAUGAUCAAAUCACUUAUUUUUAUUGCACUUUCAUCCAUGUAUAAUGACAAGAUCUAUUUCUUUUUUAUCUUAUGCUGAAGAAUAGAAUUUCUGGAGUCUGUCAUGUGUUCUUUGUUUUGGGGAAAUUGCCAUAAUCUAUUUGGAAGAUUGUAAAUCUAUUUAAAUAGCAUAAAGCUAUCAACCUGACAUUUAACUAAAAAUAUAUGUAAUUUUGUUGUUUUUUAAAUUCAUCUCUCUGAUUUUGAUUUCCACCCCUAAGAAGGUCAUAGGGCCACUUACCUAGGGUGUAGAGGGGGAUGAGGAAUGACUUAUUGCUGCCUGUAAAUUGAAUGAGUGAGGCAGAGAGUGACAAGAGAAGGAGAUCUGAAGUAACAUAGACCUUGAACAGGCCACUUGGGGCUGCUUGUGCUGCCAAAUCAUCAGUAUUUAUGACAUCUUCUUUGAGGUUGUAAAAUGCUGGCCCUGAGUAUUAUAUGACAGUUAUGUUGCAAGGGUCACCUAUCCUGCUUCUGAAUUUUUGCUCAAAAUAUUCCCUGUGUCUAGAUUUGUCCCUCUGUGCUCCUCAUUAAGUGUGACUCUUGUGCCUAAACUUGAAUCUAAACUCUAAACUUGAUUCUUCAAGAAAACUUGUCUAGUUGAUGCAAAAAAGACAUGUCAUCCUACUCCCCUAAGCAUUCUGUUUAACUUUCUAAAAUAGUUAUUUCUGUUAAGUUUACAUUUUAAAAGUAUUCUAAAUACCUACCAUAAGACAAGCACCAUAGUAGUUAAUUUUGGGAACCACCUUUGUGUGCACUGUCAGAAUUUGCAAAUAUAAAAUAUAAAUAUAAAAUCUCAGAUGUGUUGAGAACUGGGCAGAACCUUCUGACCCAAGACAACCUCCCAUAAAUCAGGGCAGGAAAUUCAAUAUGCCCUGGCCUUCUCUCUGGUUCUAAAUUAAACACUCAACCCAUGAAUGAGGUGACAACAAAAUUUGUCAUUAACACUUAGAUGUGAUAGGUUUACUCAACCCUUCAAUAUGAGAGGUCUAGAGAACUCUUAUAAGGAAGAGAAUAUGCUGUAACUGUAGGGCAAUGGUGACAAUCUGAAUCAAGCCCACAUCUUCCACAUGCAUCUUGAGCCAUGCAAAUCAGUUUUCCAGUGACCUUCUAGGAAUUACUAGGAGGUCUCUCUGGUACAGUCUUCUCUCUAAGGCAUUCUCUUCAGACAGGCAACUUUAAAAGAGAGAGAUGUAUAUUGCAUGUUCAAAAGUAUUCUCCUUUUUUUCAUAGAAAAUCAAAGAGCUCAAAAUAGCUCAUUCCCAUCUCUAAAGGAACACUGUUACAAUGUGAGUUUUCCCGAAGCAGAAGCUCCUGACUGUGCCCUUGCUCUCAUGACCUGUUUUGCUAUUACUUCUUGUAAUGAUAAAAAGGUCUUUCAGAUAUUCUUCUAUCUCCAUUAAGGUUGCUUAUAAAGCAAAAUCACAUGUAGCAAACCCAGUCUCCCCAUUUACACACAUUUAGAAGUAGGACAUGGGUUUCAGUGAGGUGUCAAUGAAUCCCAGUCUCUGGAAGCCCUUGCCCCAACCUUAUCGCUCAGGUUGCUUGUAAGAUUUCAUUAUGUGCAGCAGAAAAUCACUACACACAGCUCUGUUCUUAUUUAAUUAGGCAAAAAUCUUCA